RNAcentral lists this ribosomal RNA (371 nucleotides) under uncultured bacterium. RNAcentral describes it as "bacterial SSU rRNA". It matches the Rfam family "Bacterial small subunit ribosomal RNA", at positions 525 to 896 of the family's 1533-position model. The record is from RNAcentral.
ACAUACUGUGCGAACGUUAUUCGGAUUCACUGGGCUUAAAGGGUGCGUAGGCGGCUUGUUAAGUAGGGUGUGAAAGCCCCCAGCUCAACUGGGGAACUGCAUUCUAUACUGGUGAGCUAGAGUGAGAUAGGGGUGUGUGGAACUGCCAGUGGAGCGGUGAAAUGUGUUGAUAUUGGCAGGAACGCCGGUGGCGAAAGCGACACACUGGGUCUCAACUGACGCUGAGGCACGAAAGCCAGGGGAGCGAACGGGAUUAGAUACCCCGGUAGUCCUGGCCGUAAACGCUGAGUACUCGUUUGGAGCGGUUUCGGCUGCUCCAGACUUAGAGAAAUCGUUAAGUACUCCGCCUGGGGAGUAUGGUCGCAAGGCUG